AUUCAGCUGACCACUCCUAAAUAGGACGAAACGCGCGUCCUGGAU
RNAcentral lists this non-coding RNA (45 nucleotides) under Schistosoma mansoni. Lineage: Eukaryota; Metazoa; Platyhelminthes; Trematoda; Strigeidida; Schistosomatidae. The record is from RNAcentral.